Molecule: non-coding RNA, 376 nt
Organism: Paramuricea clavata
Lineage: Eukaryota; Metazoa; Cnidaria; Anthozoa; Malacalcyonacea; Plexauridae
Source: the annotation of a GenBank genome assembly
AACAUCUCAGACUAAACAAAAACUACUAGAACAUCUAAUGUCCUCAAAUGACAUUGUUGUCAUUAACCUAUUCUCUAAAUUUAUCUCUCUCUGCUUAACAGAGCGAGAAAAUAGCCUCAAACCCAUGGAAAAUACGUAAUAAAAAACGACUGCAGCUAAUUUCAAAUUCAUUGCGAAAAUCACACUGCAAAUUGUUUUCCAAUCUUUCAUAAAAAAAACCCCUUACUUAGAAACUACGAAUACGAUCUAUAUUAUCCAUAAAAUAGAUGUAUAAAUCACUAUAAUGACACUUUCACUUUAUAUAUGUUCGUUUCUUCAAUACCUUGUACUGUAUGUAAUUAUAUAUAUAUAUAUAUAUAUAUAUAGAAUAUUCUAG